UACGUAGGGUGCGAGCGUUGUCCGGAAUUAUUGGGCGUAAAGGGCUCGUAGGCGGUCUGUCGCGUCGGGAGUGAAAACUCAGGGCUUAACCCUGAGCCUGCGUCCGAUACGGGCAGACUAGAGGUAUGCAGGGGAGAACGGAAUUCCUGGUGUAGCGGUGAAAUGCGCAGAUAUCAGGAGGAACACCGGUGGCGAAGGCGGUUCUCUGGGCAUUACCUGACGCUGAGGAGCGAAAGUGUGGGGAGCGAACAGG
This 253-nucleotide ribosomal RNA is filed under the name uncultured bacterium. Its description in RNAcentral is "partial 16S ribosomal RNA". It matches the Rfam family "Bacterial small subunit ribosomal RNA", at positions 524 to 776 of the family's 1533-position model. The record is from RNAcentral.